Molecule: transfer RNA, 67 nt
Filed under: Tamias canipes (gray-footed chipmunk)
Lineage: Eukaryota; Metazoa; Chordata; Mammalia; Rodentia; Sciuridae
Description: tRNA-Arg
Source: RNAcentral
UGAUAAUUAGUUUAAUUAAAACAAGUGAUUUCGACUCACUAGACUAUGACCUAUUCAUAAUUAUCAA